GGUGGCUCAGUGGUACAGCACUUGCCUUGCAUGCAUGAGGCCCUGGGUUCAUUCCUCAGCACCA
RNAcentral lists this transfer RNA (64 nucleotides) under Dipodomys ordii (Ord's kangaroo rat). It matches the Rfam family "tRNA". Rfam says of the family: Transfer RNA (tRNA) molecules are approximately 80 nucleotides in length. Their secondary structure includes four short double-helical elements and three loops (D, anti-codon, and T loops). Further hydrogen bonds mediate the characteristic L-shaped molecular structure. tRNAs have two regions of fundamental functional importance: the anti-codon, which is responsible for specific mRNA codon recognition, and the 3' end, to which the tRNAs corresponding amino acid is attached (by aminoacyl-tRNA synthetases). tRNAs cope with the degeneracy of the genetic code in two manners: having more than one tRNA (with a specific anti-codon) for a particular amino acid; and 'wobble' base-pairing, i.e. permitting non-standard base-pairing at the 3rd anti-codon position. Lineage: Eukaryota; Metazoa; Chordata; Mammalia; Rodentia; Heteromyidae. The record is from Rfam by way of RNAcentral.